UAUUGUACCAAUGUGCCUCUGCAAAGCCA
This 29-nucleotide non-coding RNA is filed under the name Mus musculus (house mouse). The record is from RNAcentral. Lineage: Eukaryota; Metazoa; Chordata; Mammalia; Rodentia; Muridae.